This 253-nucleotide ribosomal RNA is filed under the name uncultured bacterium. Its description in RNAcentral is "partial 16S ribosomal RNA". It matches the Rfam family "Bacterial small subunit ribosomal RNA", at positions 524 to 776 of the family's 1533-position model. The record is from RNAcentral.
UACGGAGGGUGCAAGCGUUAUCCGGAUUCACUGAGUUUAAAGGGUGCGUAGGUGGGCAGGUAAGUCAGUGGUGAAAUCUCCGGGCUUAACUCGGAAACUGCCAUUGAUACUAUCUGUCUUGAAUACCGUGGAGGUUAGCGGAAUAUGUCAUGUAGCGGUGAAAUGCUUAGAUAUGACAUAGAACACCAAUUGCGAAGGCAGCUGGCUACACGAAUAUUGACACUGAUGCACGAAAGCGUGGGGAUCAAACAGG